This is a non-coding RNA of Varroa destructor (honeybee mite), 8996 nucleotides long. Lineage: Eukaryota; Metazoa; Arthropoda; Arachnida; Mesostigmata; Varroidae. The record is from RefSeq and is a predicted model, not a curated record.
UUGACGUCAGGACCAAGUCAACGACAACGGAAACAGCAACGGCCGCCUUUAAGAAAAGCAAUAGCACCGCUGUUACGUAUCUCUCAGCUCUAGCCUACCCGUGAUAGCAUAAAAAUACUGUGUUUAGUUACUGUUUCGACCAGCGCGAAGAAGAGCCUCCUUCCAAACGUGUGUCACAAACACCAGUACAGUUAUAGCAAACCGAAGAACAUUAUAUACGAUAUAUGCACAAUGGCACAAUUUUUACGGAAAUUUGCCCCACAAGAAAGUUUUUGUUCAGUACGAAGCGAAUGAGACAGAGUCAGAGAGACGACACAUCUGGAAAUUGUGUAAGGACGAAGCCCAAGUGCGCGCACCUCAUAGCUUCCGCAGUAGUGUACAGGGGUAAUCGCAGUAGUCGACACAAACCGCGUUUCGGUUAGCGUCGCUCGUAUCGCGUCAUGGUUCUUGAUUUCCAGAGGGAAAAGCGGCUCGCUUUUCAGGGCCUGCUGCGCUUUCUACCGGCACAGUGUAGUUAAAGGCCAUCCGGUCAACGAAUGGCGAAAUUGCGACAGCAGUGAAUGUUUAUAUCGACAAAUGGAUCGAACGUUUGAGAAGCCAACACAGAAUACAUAGCCCAUCAGACAGCCGACGACCUCACAGCCGUACACAUAGACCACACAGACCGAAAAUGAAGACUACAACUGAAGUUGUGUUGUGGUUCCUCUAAAUCUUCCUCUAAGCAGAGCAAUCUUCAGAACAAUACUAACUAGUUUUUUUUGACUCCUGUCGUUGACAAGCCCGCGAACAAGAUCAGGGGAUCAGAAAAAGAUGGGACGCUCUCGAUCGCGUUCGCGCGAGAGGCGUCGCUCCCGGUCCCCACGCGACCGCCGACGGUCGCGUUCAAGGGAUCGGAAAAGAAAGUCUCGGUCGCGUAGCAAAGAUAAAGAUAAGGACAUUCGCGACAGGCGAAGGGAUCGUUCAAGGGAACGCAAACGUUCGAGGUCCAGGAGUCGGGACAGGCGCCGUGAGCGAAGUCGUGACAGACGUCGGUCCCGCUCUCGUUCGCGCGAUCGGAAGCGAUCAAAAGAGCAAUCUCGUCGGAGUCGCACGAGAAGUAAGAGUCGUUCUCGCUCGAGGUCACGAAGCGGCGAUCGAAUAUUGCAAGCGACAAAAAUGCACGACCCCGUAGCAACGGCAUUGGCUAUCCUCGCCCCGGUAACCAUGCCCUCGUCUACCAAUGCUGCUGGUCUGUCGGUGACAACGAACAGCGCCAUACUUCAGCAGGUACCUUUACCGCCGGCUCCACCGAAAGAACCCGCGCACGUGCUUGAAGACUUCGGCUUGCUCGAUAAAGAUUCGAAGCAGCAGAAGCUCGACGCCGAAAUGAAGAAAUUCCGUGAGCGUAUUGAACGUGAGCGUGCUGAAAAGAAAUUGAAGGAGGUCCACAAGUUGAAAGAGGACACUGAUACCAUCGAAAUAUUGGAACGGCAAAGCGAGGACGCCAAGACAAACGACAAUAAUGCCAAAGAGGGCUCCGAUUCGGCAGAACCUGCACCACCGGCAAAGACCCCAUAUAAACCCCCUCCGGGACUGGCGCUUAUUGAUACCGAUGAGGAGGAUAAUAAUGAUGACGGAGAUGAUGAGGACAGAUCCAAGAAGAAGAAAAAAGAAACGAAAAUGGAAGAAGAUGACGAUGACGAUGAUGGAGUCGACCCGUUAGACGCCUAUAUGGAGGAGGUGGUCAAAGAAGUUCGUGCUAUCACUAAAGCUGCUCCGAAACCACAGACGGCAACGAAUAACCUGGUUCACGGCAUCAAGGGAGGCCAAGCUGUAGUACUGACUGGCAAGCAAAAAGGGCGACCUAAAAGUGCUAGCGGUAAUUCCGGAAAGGGUGAUAUAAUGGAACAGAAUGAAGAUGGUCUGGAAUAUUCCGACGAGGGCGAACAAGAGGAUCUACAGCAAGCAAUGGAUUCGUAUUCCUCCGCCACGCUCGGAAAGAUCAAGAAACAAACAACUAUCAGUUUAGAUGAUAUAACGUAUCAGCCAUUUCGGAAAGAUUUCUAUAUCGAAGUCCCUGAGCUUGCGCAAAUGACCCAAGCUGAAGUGGAGGCUUUCCGAACAGAGAUGGAUGGUAUUACGGUUAAAGGUAAGAACGUCCCAAAGCCCAUCAAGGCCUGGCCCCAAGCUGGAAUCAGCAAGAAAGUUUUAGAUGUUUUGAAGAGGGCUAAUUUUGAUAAGCCAACACCUAUUCAGGCCCAAACGUUACCCGCCAUUAUGUCCGGACGAGAUCUUAUUGCUAUUGCAAAAACAGGUUCAGGAAAGACGCUAGCGUUCCUCUUGCCAAUGUUUCGGCACAUCCUGGAUCAGCCGCCGCUCGAAGCUAACGAUGGCCCGAUAGCAGUGAUUAUGACUCCCACGAGAGAGCUGGCUAUGCAAAUCACAAAGGAUUGCAAAAAGUUUACUAAGGCUUUAAAUCUUCGCGUUGUAUGCGUCUACGGUGGAACAGGCAUCUCGGAGCAGAUAGCAGAAUUGAAACGUGGUGCUGAGAUUAUAGUCUGCACACCGGGUCGCAUGAUCGACAUGUUGGCCGCCAACAGCGGUCGCGUCACGAAUAUGCGCAGGUGCACGUACGUGGUGCUUGAUGAAGCUGAUCGUAUGUUUGAUAUGGGUUUCGAGCCUCAAGUUAUGCGUAUUAUUGACAGCAUUCGGCCAGAUCGGCAAACGGUUAUGUUCUCAGCGACCUUCCCCCGACAAAUGGAAGCUUUAGCUAGGCGAAUACUAUUAAAGCCAAUCGAAAUACUUGUUGGCGGGAGAUCAGUUGUCUGCAAGGAAGUCGAGCAGCACGUUCUUAUUUUGAAUGAGGAAGACAAAUUCCUCAAGCUUCUUGAAAUACUCGGCAAAUACACAUCUCAGGGUAGCGCAAUUAUCUUUGUCGACAAGCAAGAGCAUGCUGACGCUUUACUCAAGGAUCUCAUGACUGCAUCAUACAAUUGUUCGGUGCUCCAUGGAGGAAUCGAUCAGUUUGAUCGAGAUUCGACGAUCGUCGACUUCAAAAAUGGCAAAUUUAACGUUCUGGUCGCGACAUCCGUUGCGGCCCGAGGCCUGGAUGUGAAGCAGCUUGUUCUCGUAGUCAACUAUGACUGUCCUAAUCAUUACGAAGAUUACGUGCAUCGCUGCGGCCGAACAGGCAGGGCAGGCAACAAGGGCUUUGCUUACACAUUUAUUGCACCUGACCAGGAGCGGUACACCGUAGACAUUUUGAAGGCGCUUGAGUUGUCGGAAGCACCGGUACCAGACGAGCUUCAGAAGCUGUUCAAUACUUAUAAAGAGAAAAUGGAAGCUGAGGGCAAGAAAGUCAAAGGGUCAUCUGGUUUCUCAGGCAAAGGCUUCAAAUUUGAUGAGAGCGAGGCAAACUUUACUAGCGAAAAGAAAAAGUACCAGAAAGCCAUGCUAGGUAUGAACGAUUCGGAUGAUGAUGACGCGGAAGAUUCGAUUGAUCAAGAUAUCGAGACGAUGAUGGCCCCGAAAAAACGUGUUACUGAGACAAAGGGUCCCGCAGGAGGACCGCCACCCCCUCUGCAUGGCCAAACGCAUCCAUCAGCAGCGGAGGCAAGUGUUCCGCUGGUCCCAUCGCAACCCAUAAUUCCUGCCGUCCUUCCAACAGAUCCGUUGGAAAAGGCGAAGUUUUUGGCUAGACGCAUUAAUAAACAAUUUUCCCAAGAGAACCGAUCGGAUGAUCCUAAUGGACCUCGUCCAGGAGGCGCCGCUCCUAACAGCAGUAUUGCUGCUCAGAUAGCUCGCAGUAUCGCUGAACAGAGAGCGGAACGUCUGCACAUCAAGCUUAACUAUACGCCUAGUGGAGAAUCAGAUCCUUUGAUUACCAGUGAACAAACAACAUUCAGGAAGUAUGAGGAGGAACUCGAAAUCAACGACUUUCCACAGCAAGCAAGAUGGAAGGUAACGUCUAAAGAGGCUAUCGCACAGAUCGCCGAAUACUCAGAGGCAGGAUUGACCGUUCGUGGUACGUAUUUCCCACCCGGCCGAGAACCACCGGAGGGCGAACGCAAACUGUUUAUCGCGAUCGAAUCCCACGACGAAAUGUCCGUCCAAAAGGCGAAGUCAGAGAUAGUGCGUCUUAUCAAAGAGGAGCUCGUCAAAUUGCAGCAUUCAUCGUACCAGCCUAUGAAUAGAGGGCGCUACAAAGUCCUUUAAAAAUGAAAGUUUUAAGCUCGUCAAGCUACGCGCUUGAUGUGCUGAUGUGGACCGUAGAAGCAAAUCUUAAAAAGUCAUCUUUUAACGUUACAUUGAUUAUGUGUAUUACCGAAAAGAUGAACCUAUUUCUUUUUCUGCAAAGAAAAGUCUGGCAGAAUAUAGCACGCGUAUAAACUCUGAUAGUAUAGCGUAUUUAUACAGCGUUAAGUUAAGCAUCGCGUUACUCGAAGCAAACAUAUUACAAUGACACGUCGUCAAAAGAAAGUAAUGUGAACAACACAUAUGUAUUGUUCUGACGACUCGAAAUUACUAAAUGUACCUAUGCACAUAAUAAUUUCAAUUAGUUAUAAUUAAAGUAGUUAAUUAUUUUACGCCGUUAGCGUUACAAGGCUGCUGCUUAAAAACUACGUACGAAUUGUGAGGCUGUUAUCUUUGUGUGAUACUCAGUUCCGCAUCAGCGUUAGGCAGCCAGCGGCGUGUAUAAGAUAUCAAGACAGCUCUCAUUGAUUCUUUCAGGUAAUAUACGUUAUCAUAUUUAAUAUUUAACCGAACCCAUUUAACACAACAAGGCUGAUAAGGAAAUUCAGUAAAUAUUGAUAAUAAAUUUCAAUAAGGCAUUGUUUCGAACACAAUGAAUUUACUAUAAAAAAAACUUCUCCUUUAUGUGCUUAAUGUAGUACUUCAGCUAGAUUAGCUGUAUAGUGUUUUAUGAACCUUCAUUCAACCUCGAUAGAAUUUUCCUAUGAGUAUUAGUUUUCUAACUUGUAGUUCCUUGAACAAAACUUUUCAACUUACAACUGUCAAAUUAACGCCUGGCUGCAGAAAGCAAACACUUAAACUUCGAAAAUGCAUUACUUGAGAGAUCGUAAUGAAUUUAAUUUAAAACGAAACGUCACGUGUAUGGGCUAGCAUUGGCCUCUUAACAAUUCUAUUAAAACAUAUUGUGCCACUUUAGCAGGGCAACACAUUAUUUUGUGAGAGCAGAAACGGGCAUUGUAGAAUAUGUGCCACAGAUUUCUGAAAUAGUGUGCACAGGUAGACAUAAGAAGGAAUCUUGAAGACCGUGAUCACUACCAUCAUAGUCUGAUUUAAGAGCUAUGUUUAAGAUUCGAUAGUACUCGGAUGCACAUACCGAACUGAGUUAAAAGUGAGCAAUUAUUAUGCUGGCCUUUAAUUUCUAAUAUUGCCAUGUUAUACAGGAUAUUGUCUAUCGCCAAGAUCAGGUAAUGCUAAAGUCGUACUUUUACCUUUACAGAAAUUGACUAGACAUAAAACACAUGAGUGUGUAGAGAACACAUCGUUUUUCUUUCCCGCGAGGUGUGUACCUGUCUAGAAUUUUUACGGCACGUGACAAUUGAUAUUCUCAUAUACCUGUAUUAAAGGUUAAAGCAAUAAAGUCCAGAGUGCUCACUGUUCAAUAUAAGCUCGCUUUUAUCAGUAGGAAUUUGUCAGUUUAUGGGAAUAAGGUCUCUCUGCUUUCUUCUGUAGUUUUUUGCACCUAUAUUAAGCUAUCAGUGUCUGUUUAUUGGAAAAAGUACACCCUUUCGAGCGCGCUUUAAAAAGGUUUCAUUCUCAUUGAAACCUAAACUAUAGCUUUUUAACUUAGAAUUAUAGAUACUCUAUUACGACAAAAAUAAAUCAUGAUCAGAUCCGGUCGUACAAUCUCACUAACUGCUACGCGUGUAACUGUACGCAUAUUUUAUGGUUGACCGAAAUUUUAAUUAAAUUACUAUAUUAUCAUUGCAUAUAACUACAGUUAGGAAAGUGACAUCAGCAUUAACAGGAAUAGUUCGAUGGAAAGGUAGAUAGUUGUACUGGAUGCGUCAGGCGUUACUAGAGUCUAAAUAGCUUAAAGCGAAGAAAUUUUUUAUAGAAGUGGUUAUUAGCAUUCUAAAUUACACUGUCUAUACAAAUCAUGACUCCAUUAUGAUUCCUAUCUAACCCUAGCGAAAAGAUUCAAGUGAAAUAUUAAAAUGUCAUGCCUUGUUGAGGUCACAUUCGCCUAUGCGAUAUAUAAAUCACGUAAACAUCGGGCAAUCCGUACCGCUGGGCAAUCAAAAAGUCCUAAAAUGUGAAAACACCGAAAAAUUAACACAGGCCUUAGAUAUGGCCAAUAUAAGGUUUUCAUAGAUAAUUUAACACUUGGUUUUGAUAUAAUAGGCAAAAUAAGGCAAAAAAAAAGGAAAAAUAAAGUUCGGUUGUGUGUGUUCGAUGUGCUACUAAUCACUGCUGUUUCAUCGCGUUUUGACCUGAUGCAUCACCAUUAUAUGGCAGAACAAAAAAGGCUUGACAAUAUCUUAAAAUUGUUCCAACACAAUCCAUUUCCAGAGAGAAAAAUGAUUUUAAAAUAGUUUCUCAUUGAAUGAUGAGAAACUAUUUUGACAUUGUAGUUCAGCUUUUUCCAACAUGUUUCCCAGCUUGACAGACUAAACUGACAGACGAGAACGUGAAGGAAGGAUCGAUGACGAUUGUCGCAAAACAACGAAACCGUAAAAUGGGCAAUCUGUGAACUUUUUUCGACCAUAGUUCACUACAGGAAUAAAUAUAGUGUUGGAAAUGUGGUAGAAGCUGAAAGACCGACGUAAUGCAAUACAAUCAAUUGUAUGCAAUGCCUUGCGUUAGACUACAUAUUUUUACGUGACAACCUGUUGCCAAAAUCCAAGAAGUAUGUUUGCAAGAACUAUCCCGUUGAUCGACCAACCAUCAACCAACAAUCGAAUUUUCUAUUGGGAAGCAGAGUAACAUUCUACUGGCAUUCCAUUUUUCCAACCAUAUACCUGGAAUAAGACCGAAAACAUGAAGUGUACGGCGUUUACUACGGUAACCUGUGGAUAAGCCCGCAUAAGAUUCCCUUUAAAACGAGUCAUUCUCCUUUAUGGCUUGGCCAAAUAUUCUGUAUGUGAAACAAAUAAGGUUCUGCCGUAUAUUUGCUGGUCACCAACUUUGUCGGGCAAAUGCUUAUAGCACCCCCGUCCGAGAUGAUACGUAAAUAAUAAUCCGAAUGAAUUGCAACCAGGAUCAAGUCACAGCGUUUUAAAACAAAUAUUGUUUAUCAUCUAUUCACAACAUUUGUUAUUGAAAUCAAUGCUCAAAUAUAGUGUUUGAAAGAAUGUAUACACACUUCACUAUAUAUAUAAAAUAGUUAUUGCAAAAGAGACCACGUAAAAUCUAUAACUCUUACUUCUAUUGCAGAUACAUGUUUAAAAUAGUCACCGUUCUGAUCAAUAUACUAUUGGUAACGAUCGGCUAUCGAUUCACAAACUUCAACAAACGAUUGGCCAAUAGCAGCUCCUAAAGCUUCAGUGUCGUCAGUUUCUUUCAAGCUACGUAAGAAAAACUCGAGGACAAAUAUCAGGCCCGGGGGACGGGCAGAGUGUCUCAUAAGACAUCUUUGUCCGGCCCAUCUGUUUGGAAUCUUCCAAACAAGAAACGCUUUUAGAUAAUAAGUAGGUUCUCCGCUUUAUUGAACGAAAUUUUGCUGUCCAACCAAUAUCUUCCAGAAUGCGAGGUAAAACAGACUAUUAUAGCAAAUUCAAGUAUUUGGCAUCAGUCCAUACACUAUCAAAAACGAGCGGUCUAAUUCAUCUUUUGUUUGAAAUGCCCCACCACACUAACUCCAGGUAAAUUAUAUAAUAUUUUCAUAUAACAUGUGUAUUUACUGUUUCUCAGUGACUGCAAUCAUAUUGAGUAAUUGCUAUUUAAUUUGAAUGUAGAUUCACCGUUUGAAACAAUAGUUUUUGAAGACUGUGCAUUCUCUACAUAUUUUACUGAGUACUAUCCGCAAAAUUUGUUUUCUUUGGUUUGGAUCAAUUUCACUGAUAGCAUGUGUACCAUGUUGCAACUGCUACACAUGCUAUCAGUUUUUCCAUUUACGAUGUUCUAAAUGUUACGGACCCAAUUUUUCGAUACCAGGCUCAUGACUCGCUUGUUUUCCUUAUUUGUGGAAUGUUCCGCUGUAACUCUUCAGUGAUCAUUCUUGGCUGGUGAAACUCUGACCUUUUUGGAUUUUCCAUAGUUGUCUAUAAACAUUUUCAACCGUUCCAUCAGUUUCAAACUUAUCUUUGUUAGUCGCGUAGGGGAAUCUGUUUGAAGUUUUUGUUGAAAAGUUAAUUUUAGUCUACUUCUUAUUUCCAACUAGUGACAAUCUGAAAAAUAAACAAUUAGAAGAUUAUGACCCACUAAAUUGUGUAUGUAUCUUUUGGGGUAGCCUGUAUUACAAAAAAAGAUACAGCGAAUCAUAUCGAAGCAAUUGGAUUAACUGAUCUGAUUUGGCUAGAUGCCAAAGAAGGUCGAUAGAUUAGAUUAAUAAAAAACCGUCUAAUAUCUCGAAUCACGGUUCUAAAGAAGUUACUCAUGUAGAAACUGGGUACACUAAUUCCCAAGUGAAAUCCUAUAAUUGUCUGAAAUACUGAGAAAAAAAAUGUAGAUCUCAGCUUAUCAUAUUUUGACUACAUAUGUAUAGAGCGCAUUCUCACGGUUAUUGAGGUAGAAAGCGCUUUUAUUUAGCGUGUUGAUCAGCCAUCCCUCAUAAGUAAUCAACCUCCGCCCUUCUAAUAAGACAACGUGUUUUUGUAUGCGUUUUUAAAAAAGCACGUCUUAGGCAUCACGAACUGAACUCAAGGUAUGUUGUGAAGUUUUAUUUACGGAAAGUUGUUUUUGAAAUUUAUAAUACCAGUAAAUAGGUAAGAUGGUCUUAAUUAUUAUAGCUGAUGGCGUAGGUUGGUGGUAGAUUUUUAACGUAUUCUAUAAGAAACAGGUGAUGUAUUCGUUUUGUUGUGUAUCCCAGUAUGUACCAGGAGUAU